Lepisosteus oculatus (spotted gar) is the source of this 1313-nucleotide non-coding RNA. The record is from RefSeq and is a predicted model, not a curated record. Lineage: Eukaryota; Metazoa; Chordata; Actinopteri; Semionotiformes; Lepisosteidae.
GGCAGCGCGUUGCGAUCCCAGAUUGCUCCCGCUGUAAGGAUUGGAUCCACGGCUCCACACGCCUUGCUGCUAGGAUGAGCUUGGAGAAGAUGAUAACUUCAGGGUUGCAGUCGAGGCCUCGUGCCUCUGACUGGAAUCUGCGCUCCAGCAGAGGUUUUGCUCCUCCAACAUCACGAAACGUCCACCCAGGAGAGGGAGCUGGAGCCUGUUCCAGCACGCAGAGGGCGCAAGGACACACCCUGGGCGGGAUGCCAGCCCAUCGAAGGGCACACUGACACACACACACACACACACACACACCAGGGCCAAUUUUCUCAGAUGCCAGUGAACUUCCCUACUGUGGGAGGGAACCCACACAGACAUUGGGAGACCAUACAAACCCCAUCCACUCCACAGCAUCCCUGGUCCAGUAUUGAACCCAGGACCACUGGGCCGCCGUGUUGCCCCACAUCACAAGACAGCUUCCAUGAAUGACCUGUUUGGGUGUUGAGUGAAAGUGGACAGCAGGGUGGUCUAAGGUGAGGUCCCGUCCUGUCCGCUCCGCUGCAGAGGUUUAAUACAGCCAGCAUUACUGUUCUACUGCUGAUUAACGGUGAAAUAAUGCAGGGCUGGGAUGCUGCCGCCGGUGGUUGGCUCUGCUGUGUUUGGGAGAAGGCGGGCAGGUCCUGCCCAGCUCUGUUUCCGUCGCUCCUCUGCAACUUUAAGCAGCUCGGCGGGUUCUGUCCCCUUUAACUCUCUGUGAAGCCCGGCUCUUCCUGCUGCCGCGUGCUGGGUAGGGCCGACUUGUGGACCAUGCCCUUACUGUACGCUGCGGGUGUGCAGUGGGUACUGAACUUUCUCUUAACCUGCUCAGAGGAUUUUGUGGGAUUCUGUGUGCCGAAGUUAACUUGUGUAACCACGCGAUGACGUCGCGAAAGCGUCUGCACCGGUAGAGAAAAAUAAAGUGGAAACAAAAACGUGUUUUGUGAAAUAUUAAAAUUACAGUGGACAAAUGCCAAAGCUAUCUUUUGUGUUGGUUUACUUAUGAACAUUGUCAAGACAGAGUAAAAGUGAUAGUCGAAAUAUAGUUACAAUAAGAUUGUAGCCUUAACUGUGGAGAAUGCUUGCCUUUAGUCUAUACAAUGUAAAACAUUUACAUUAUUGAAGGUGUUACAUUAACCUUAAGUAAACAACAAAUAUUUUGUAUGGUACUUAUUUAUAUUGUCUCGUUUUGCAAGCUAUAUAUUUUGUAUUACCGUUCUUUGUAAAUACUUCCAGCGGCGUUGGAAGUGAGGUUCAGUGCUGUGUUUGUGAAAUAAAAUCUAUUCCAGUGA